This 1910-nucleotide ribosomal RNA is filed under the name Polistes fuscatus (common paper wasp). RNAcentral's name for it is "small subunit ribosomal RNA". It matches the Rfam family "Eukaryotic small subunit ribosomal RNA". Lineage: Eukaryota; Metazoa; Arthropoda; Insecta; Hymenoptera; Vespidae. The record is from RNAcentral.
UCCCUGGUUGAUCCUGCCAGUAGUCAUAUGCUUGUCUCAAGAUUAAGCCAUGCAUGUCUCAGUGCAUGCCGAGCUAAGGUGAAACCGCGAAUGGCUCAUUAAAUCAGUUAUGGUUUCUUAGAUCGUACCCACAUUUACUUGGAUAACUGUGGUAAUUCUAGAGCUAAUACAUGCAAACCAGAGUUCCAACCAGAGAUGGGAGGAACGCUUUUAUUAGAUCAAAACCAAUCGGUGGCGUUUGUUAAUACAUUCGUCCACCGUUUACUUUGAUGACUCUGAAUAACUUUGAGCUGAUCGCACGGUCCUAGCACCGGCGACAAGUCUUUCAAAUGUCUGCCUUAUCAACUGUCGAUGGUAGGUUCUGCGCCUACCAUGGUUGUAACGGGUAACGGGGAAUCAGGGUUCGAUUCCGGAGAGGGAGCCUGAGAAACGGCUACCACAUCCAAGGAAGGCAGCAGGCGCGCAAAUUACCCACUCCCGGCACGGGGAGGUAGUGACGAAAAAUAACGAUACGGGACUCAUCCGAGGCCCCGUAAUCGGAAUGAGUACACUUUAAAUCCUUUAACAAGGAUCCAUUGGAGGGCAAGUCUGGUGCCAGCAGCCGCGGUAAUUCCAGCUCCAAUAGCGUAUAUUAAAGUUGUUGCGGUUAAAAAGCUCGUAGUUGAAUCUGUGUUUCACACUGUCGGUUCACCGCUCGCGGUGUUUACUGGCAUGAUGUGGGACGUCCUACCGGUGGGCUUAGCCCUUCGGGGCGGUCCACUAAUAUCCCAUCGCGGUGCUCUUCAUUGAGUGUCGAGAUGGGCCGGUACGUUUACUUUGAACAAAUUAGAGUGCUUAAAGCAGGCUAGCCUCGCCUGAAUACUGUGUGCAUGGAAUAAUGGAAUAGGACCGCUUCGGUUUUUGUUGGUUUUCGGAACUCCGAGGUAAUGAUUAAUAGGGACAGAUGGGGGCAUUCGUAUUGCGACGUUAGAGGUGAAAUUCUUGGAUCGUCGCAAGACGGACAGAAGCGAAAGCAUUUGCCAAAAAUGUUUUCAUUAAUCAAACGAAAGUUAGAGGUUCGAAGGCGAUCAGAUACCGCCCUAGUUCUAACCAUAAACGAUGCCAGCUAGCGAUCCGCCGAAGUUCCUCCGAUGACUCGACGGGCAGCUUCCGGGAAACCAAAGCUUUUGGGUCCGGGGGAAGUAUGGUUGCAAAGCUGAAACUUAAAGGAAUUGACGGAAGGGCACCACCAGGAGUGGAGCCUGCGGCUUAAUUUGACUCAACACGGGAAACUCACCAGGCCCGGACACCGGAAGGAUUGACAGAUUGAUAGCUCUUUCUUGAUUCGGUGGGUGGUGGUGCAUGGCCGUUCUUAGUUGGUGGAGCGAUUUGUCUGGUUAAUUCCGAUAACGAACGAGACUCUAGCCUGCUAAAUAGGCGUACAUUCUGGUAUCACGAAGGCCCUCGGCUUCGGUCGAGUGGUUUUACUACCAACGUACCAACAAUCUUCUUAGAGGGACAGGCGGCUUUUAGCCGCACGAGAUUGAGCAAUAACAGGUCUGUGAUGCCCUUAGAUGUUCUGGGCCGCACAGCGCGCUACACUGAAGGAAUCAACGUGUUUUCCCUGGCCGAAAGGCCCGGGUAACCCGCUGAACCUCCUUCGUGCUAGGGAUUGGGGCUUGCAAUUAUUCCCCAUGAACGAGGAAUUCCCAGUAAGCGCGAGUCAUAAGCUCGCGUUGAUUACGUCCCUGCCCUUUGUACACACCGCCCGUCGCUACUACCGAUUGAAUGAUUUAGUGAGGUCUUCGGACUGGUGCGCGGCAGUGCCUCGGCACUGCCGAUGUUGCCGGGAAGAUGACCAAACUUGAUCAUUUAGAGGAAGUAAAAGUCGUAACAAGGUUUCCGUAGGUGAACCUGCGGAAGGAUCAUUA